GACGAACGCUGGCGGCGUGCCUAAUACAUGCAAGUAGAACGCUGAAGAGAGGAGCUUACUCUUCUUGGAUGAGUUGCGAACGGGUGAGUAACGCGUAGGUAACCUGCCUUGUAGCGGGGGAUAACUAUUUGAAACGAUAGCUAAUACCGCAUAACAAUGGAUGACACAUGUCAUUUAUUUGAAAGGGGCAAUUGCUCCACUACAAGAUAGACCUGCGUUGUAUUAGCUAGUAGGUUAGGUAAUGGCUCACCUAGGCGUCGAUACAUAGCCGACCUGGGAGGGUGGUCGGCCACACUGGGACUGAGACACGGCCCAGAAUACUACGGGAGGCAGCAGUAGGGGAUCUUCGGCAAUGGGGGCAACCCUGACCGAGCAACGCCGCGUGAGUGAAGAAGGUUUUCGGAUCGGAAAGCUCUGUUGUAAGUCAAGAACGGGUGUGAGAGUGGAAAGUUCACGCUGUGACGGUAGCUUACCAGAAAGGGACGGCUAACUACGUG
This 497-nucleotide ribosomal RNA is filed under the name uncultured bacterium. RNAcentral's name for it is "partial 16S ribosomal RNA". It matches the Rfam family "Bacterial small subunit ribosomal RNA", at positions 28 to 507 of the family's 1533-position model. The record is from RNAcentral.